CGAGCUACAUUACUAUAACAGGCAACUUAUGUUGUUUGUUAGGGUUGCCUCGUCCAUAUCCAAGUUUGCAGCCUCAAGUACUCUUGAGCAAUCUGCUAGGAAGCUUUUCAUUGUUUUCCUUGAUUUCAUUGUGAGAUUGCUAUCUCAUUUGGAUUGAUUUGUAUACAUCAAGGAACUUGUCACAAUUUAACCAUCAAGAGUGUCCAUUGGUGGAUUCCAAGAAGUUGAGCUUGGAUGCUCUGAAGGAGUUCAAAGCAACUCAUAGUUGUGGAUUCAACUUGGGUGUUGUGGAUUCAACAUCAUGUUAUUCAAUCCCGAGAUGAAGGCGUUGGUGGAAGCGACACAGGGAGUGGAAGACAAUACGAGAGUGAGUUGGGUUAUUGUUUGUACUCUUGUGUAGUUUCAUUAUCUUCAUAGUGGAUCAUUUAGUGGCCUUUGGCCGUGGUUUUUUAUUUUUUAUAUAUUUAUUUUUUUUGUCACAAUUAGAGGUGUUUCAUUUGUGCCUUUUCCACUUUAAAUCUCUUGUGUAGAUUUAUCUAUUGUGAAACAACAAUCUAAAUCACUUUUGUACGUGCUAGAUGAUUUAGAUUGUUAGUUUUGUGUGUUUGGGAUUUAUUGCAAUUAAAUCUAUAUUGAAUCAUGAAUCACUUAGAUUUUUCAAUUGGUAUCAGAGCAGGUUACUCGUUCUUUGAUUACUUUUAAAGCUAUAGGAGUGUAUUUUUUGUGAUUUGUAUUAAUGGAUUCAAUUCGUGAAGGUAAUUUAACCCAUAGACCUCCUUUACUUGACGGAACAAAUUACUCAUAUUGGAAAGCUCAUAUGAGGGUAUUUUUAAAAUCCAUUGAUGAGAAAGUUUGACAUUCUGUUAUCUAUGGGUGGAGUGAACCGGUAUUGAUUAAUGAAGGUGUUGAAAUUCCCAAACCAAUUGAUAAAUAGGAUACAAUUGUUUAUCAAAACUCGAACUGGAAUAGUAAAGCUCUCAAUUCCCUCCUUUGCUCCAUUACCCAGGAAGAGUUUUGUCGUAUUUGUACUUGUGAGGUAGCAAAAGAGGCUUGGGAUAUUCUUGAAACGAUUUGUGAGGGUACCACUUUUGUUAAAAGGUCAAAACUUCAACGUCUCACCUUAGCUUUUGAAACUCUUUUUAUGCGAGAGGAUAAAGCAUUGGAUGAAUUUUAUGCUAAACUCAAUGAUAUCGUGAAUUCCUAUUUCACGCUAGGUGAAAAAAUCCCUAAAUCUCGAGUCAUUGGAAAAAUUUUGAGGUAAUUACUCAAUAGAUUCCAAUCAAAAGUGAUGGUUAUAGAGGAGGCUUAGGAUGUUGAUAACCGCAAGCUUGAUCAACUGGUUGGAAACUUGCAAACCUUCGAGGCAAACUUGAUUUCAAAGAAAAAACAAUAGGAAACAGUGGCCUUUUCUAGUACUCAUGAGGUUGCAUGGAAUCAUAAAUUGAUCUAGAGUCCAAAAUGACGGUUUUAUUUAUAAAAUAGUUCAAACUGUUUUUUAAGAAAAAGAAGCCUAAUUUCAAGGAAUCUAGUUCCAAGGAUAAGGGUAAUGAUAAACUCAAAUUUGUUUCAAAACUCUAGAAAAAGAUAAUGAGAGGACAAUGAGUCAAAUGUUAUGAAUGCCAAGGGUUUGGGCAUUUGGCUCUUGAAUGACCUUCCAAGAAAAACAAAAAGAAAGUUUACAUUGUGACUUGGGAUGAUGAUAGUGAAUUUGAGCAAGAGGCCGAUGAAGCAUACUUCGGAGAAGAUGGUGAGAGUACCUUCAUGGCAUUUUAUUCCAAUGUUCCUCAAUCUACUCCAAGGCUUGUUCAGUUUGCAAGAGGUGCCAACCUCUAUCGUGCUCUUACUUGUGAUAGGAGUAACUAUUCAUUCUGGAAAUGUAGAAUAAGUGUGUUUCUUCAAGCUUGGGAUCCAGAAUGUUGGCAAACAAUUGAAGAAAAUAUUGAAGCUCCAUUUGUGAUUGAUCCUGUCACAAAUCAAAAAUCUAUCAAGCCUAUAGAAAAGUGGAUGAAAGUGAAAGAGUUGAUAUGGAUAGUAGUGAACGUGUCUUGAACACCAUUAGAGAAGCUCUUUCUGAAGAAGAACAACAAUGCAUCUUUUAUUGAGUUAAUGCUAAAGAUUCUUGGGAUGUGUUAUUGCAAUUCCAUGAAAGAGCAGAAUCAUCUUCACAAGCAUCUAGUUUCUCUCGCUUCAAUGCUCUAGUUGCUCGACUGGAUAGACUGAGGUGGGUGAGAAUCAAAGGUAGGAUGUAGUUUUAUCUGUGAAUGUUGUUGAUAAUGAAUCUUCUGAGAGUGAAGAUGAAAUAGAUAGUGAAGAACUCCAACAAGCUUAUGAAAACUUGUACACAUAAUCUCUAGACUUGUCAAAGUUUAACGACAAACUCACUGUCAAAUUCAAAGCUUGUGAAACUGAGAACGGCAAAUUAAAAAAGGAGAUAUCUGAGAAAAGGAAUGAUGUUAUCAAGAUCGCUAAUGAUCGGCAAGCCCUCACUGCAAAAAUAUUGAUGAGUGAGACUAAGCGAAAUGAGAUUUAGAAAAUUUAUGUAAUCUAUGAAGAAAAUAUUGAAACUCUCGAGAUGUCUCAAGAAGCUUUAGAGGAACUUGUCAAAGAGAAAGAAGAAUAACUCAAGAGUGCAAAGGCAAAAAUUGAUCUAUGGAACAAAGGGUCAAAGAUAUUGGAGGAUAUCAUUGGGUCUCAACAAAUUAGUUUAGACAAGAGCGGGAUUGGCUAUGGAGGUCAUCAACCGCAGUAUCGAAAUGCCUCCAUAUCUCAUGAUAAAAGAACUCAAGGAAAGGGAAAAGAAAAAGUGCAAUAUGGUGAUAAUUUUCAACAUCAACCCAAAGCUGGUAUGAAUGGUGAAAAGGAGGUAAAACUUGUUUUUAUUGGUCAUCAUUGUGGUAGGUAUGGCCAUAUUCAUCCUUAUUGUUUUAAGUUGUUUGCUAGGGUGUCUCAAAGAGGUAGAAGAAAUCCUAAUAGCUCGUGAGUUAGGAGACAACCCUACAUGUUAAAGUGGAAUACCAUGGCUCACAAUGGUACUCUCAAUGCCAAGACAUUACCCAAGAAUCGUGAUGAUCCUUCUCUAGUCCAGACUAGAAGAGUGUGGGUAAGAAAAAAUUACUUGUCUUGUUUUGUUGUUCACACUGCUUAUAAAGCGCGUGACUCGCAUAUGUGGUAUCUUGAUAGUGGCUUCUCUCGUCAUAUGUCCGAUGACAAGUCCUACUUCAUAUCUCUUGAAAAUUAUGAAGGAUGAAUUGUCACAUUUGGAGAUGGAAACACCUCUAGAGUCAUUGGUAAGGGCUCCAUAAGUGCUCCUGGUCUACCUAAAGUGCUCCGGGUCUACCUAAAUUGGAUAGUGUGUUGCUUGUUGAUAGACUUAAGGCUAAUCUUUUGAGCAUUAGUCAAAUGUGUGACUCACACCAUGAGGUAUCAUUUUCAAAAGAUAAAUGCGAGAUUUUGGAAAAAAAUGGAAAUACUAUUUUGCAUGGUGUGUGCACAUCAGACAAUUGCAGUGGUAUUAACACAACCAGUGAUCUUACUUGCCAUUCAGCCACCAUAAGCAAUCUUGACUUGUGGCAUCAACGUUUAGGUCAUAUCAACUACAAAGACCUAACUAAGAUCGCCAAUAACGAACUUGCACGAGGAGUGCCAAAAUUGAGUAAGUCUUUGAACCAUGUGUGCAGGCCAUGCCAAUUGGGCAAGCAAACUUGUGCUUCACACAAGAAGGUGAAUAGCUUAAUGACCAAGCAUCCUCUUGAGUUGGUUCAUAUGGAUCUUAUGGGUCCCAGUUGCACUAAGAGCAUUGGACGUAAAAGAUAUAUUUUUUUCUAAUCGUUGAUGAUUUUACACGCUUUACUUGGGUUAAUUUUUUAUGUGAAAAUUAUGAUACUUUUGAUGCUUUCAAGUCAUUGGUCCUAAAGAUCCAAAAUGGACGUGGGGAUACCAUUGGGCGUAUCACUAGAAUCUGAACUGAUCAUGGUCGUGAGUUUGAAAAUAGUUAUUUUUUAGAUUUUUGUGAUAUGCAUGACAUCAAACAUGAUUUUUUUGCACAUAUUACUCCAUAGAAAAAUGGUGUUGUUGAGAGGAAGAACCGUGUGGUUCAAGAAAUGGCUAGAGUUAAGCUUUCGAGCAAGAAAGUUCCUCUCAAUUUUUGGGCCGAAGCCUUAAAUACAGCGGUUUAUGUUGUAAAUUGUGUAUAUUUGAGGCUUGAUACUUUGAAAACUCCUUAUGAGCUGUGGAAAUGAUUGAAACCCAAUGUAAAAUACUUCAAAACUUUCAGGUGUAAAUGUUACAUUUUCAAAGAUAGAGAGCCUUUGGGCAAAUUUAACUUCCGUAGUGAUGACGGUAUUUUUCUAGGGAAUCCAACUAUAAGUAGAGCCUUUCGUGUUCACAAUCCACGUACAUUAUCUAUCAUGGAAUCUAUCAAUGUGGUUAUAGAUGACACAAGUUCUCCGAUAGCAUCUCUACACAAGGAUGAAGAAGGUAAUCCUCAAGCACAGAAUGUGGCUACUUCAAGCCAAGAGAAAACUCAAGAGGUGAAACAAACACCAUAUCAUUUUUCAAGUCCAAAUACUAUAAACAUUCUAGGAGGUUUAACCUUGUCCAAUCUAGUCCCCUCAUCUCCUAUUUUGGAGCCAUUGUCAAGGGUGAAGCUGAAUCUUCCAAUUCAAAAAGUGAUAGAGAGUGUCACCGAUUGAAUGAAAACCUGAAGGCAGAUUUGGGAAGAGGUAUCACUUGUGUGUUAUGUUUAUAUAAUUGAACCUAAAAACAUAAAAGAGGCCCUACAUGAUGAUUGUUGCGUAAAUGCUAUGAAUGAAGAAUUGGGUCAAUUUGAACGUAACAAAGUUUGGAUGCUUAUUCCUAGGCCGAAUGAUGUUAACGUGAUAGGUAUCAAAUGGAUUUUUAAGAAUAAAUCUAAUGAGAAUGGUAUUGUCAUUAGGAACAAGGUUAGGUUGGUUGCUCAAGGCUAUAUGCAGGUUGAAGGGGUUGACUAUCAUGAGACGUUUGCCCAUGUUGCACGUCUCAAAUCCAUUCGCAUUUUAUUUCUUGUUGCAUGCUUUCUUGGUUUCAAACUUUUUCAAAUGGAUGUUAAAAGUGCUUUUCUAAAUGGGUGGUUGAAAGAGGAAGCCUCUAUUGAGCAAUCAAAGGAUUUCGAGGACCUUAAAUUUCUCAAUCAUAUCUACAAGUUAGACCAGGCUUUGUAUGGAUUGAAACAAGCCUCUCAUGCUUGGUCUGAUAGAUUGACCUCUUUUCUUAUUGACAAUGAUUUUAAAAAGGGUAGCGUGGACAAGACCUUAUUUGUUAAACAUAUUAUGUCACAAAUUCUUGUUGCUCAAAUUUACGUUGAUGAUAUUGUGUUUGGAUCCACAUCUGAAUCUUUUGUUAAGUAUUUUUGGAUUGCAUGACACGUGAAUUUGAAAAUGAGCAUGAUAGGUGAGUUGUUUUUCCUUUUAGGUCUUCAAAUUAAACAACUGUCAUGUAGUGUGUUUGUGUCUCAAACUGAGCAUGCAAAGAAUCUUGAGUCUAUGUUUGGUCUUGAGUCUGCUAAACCUACACAUACCCCGAUGAGAACAACUCUUCAUCUGUCUAAAGACUCCUCUGGCACUAAUGUUGAUUAUACUCUUUAUAUGAGCAUGAUAAGAAGUCUUUUGUAUCUUACAACGAGUCGACCUGAUAUUGCUUUUAGUGUUGGUGUCCUUGUCCGCUAUUAAGCUAGUCUUAAGAAGUCCCAUCUUCUAGCUGUCAAGUGCAUUGUCAAGUAUGUAAGUGGGAUUUUGUGGUAUGGGAUCUGGUUCUCUUCCGGCACUACAUCCAAAAUUACCGGGUUUUUUGAUGUCGAUUGGGUAGGGUGUGUGAAUGAUCGCAAAAGCACAUUUGGGGGUUGUUUUUAUCUCAGCAACAACUUGGUUGCAUGGCAUAGCAAAAAGUAAAAUGCCAUCUCUCUUUCGACCGUCGAGGCAGAGUAAAUUACUAUAGGGAGUUGUUAUACUCAAAUGAUUUGGAUGAAACAAAUGCUUCAUGAUUAUGGUUUAGACCAGAGCACACUCAGCCUAUUCUGUGAUAACAUUAGUGCCAUCCACAUUUCCUGCAAUCCGGUUCGUCACUCUCGUACCAAACAUAUUGACAUUAGUCACCAUUUCAUCCGAGAGUUAGUUGAAGAGGGUCUCGUUGUUCUUGAACAUGUUACUACUGAGCAUCGAAGAGCUAACAUUUUUACCAAACCCCUUGAUCUUCUUAGGUUUGAAUUCCUUAGAAAGAUCUCGGGUGUAGUUCUCAUUGACUAGAUUGUCUCUUGUUACAUAAGUGGUUGUGGGUAAACUCAUUUUGUAUGCAAGGGUCAAAUAGCUGCUUGUUUUUCUGCUCAUGAUGAAUGUACAUGCUUGUUUGCUUCAUGAACUCAUUAUGUACAUAUCCUUGAGUUAAGCAUUUGCAGGGGUUUCCGCAUAAGUGAUCAAAGUUCUCUAUGGACUUCUAGCUUGGGAUCUAGUGCAUUUGAUGGGAAAUUGACCUUUUGCCAACAUAUCAUAGGUGAUGUUGAGUCUCUUAGCCACCAUCCAUCUUAUUGCACUUCCAUGGCUUUUCCCUAUUUUCUAAUGAUCUCAAAGCAUGAGGAAAUAGCUACCUCAGAGGCACCAACCAGGCUUUCAUUAUAUAUUUCCAUUCGUCUCUAGUUUGGCUUUUAUAAUCUGAGCGUGAAAGCCAUCGGUGAGUGCCCUAAAAAAAUUGAUUUCCUUGACUGAUGGGGAGCUUUCAUACUUACUCAACAAAUACCCCUUGAUCACUGGUUGUUUGACUUUUCUUAGUUCUGCUCAAACUUUCUUGCUGGAGGACUAGCCAUCAGAUCACUACUAGGAUUAACCCUAGCGGGUGUGGACGUUUAAGGAUUGCACUCACACACACAAACACACACACACUCCUUCGUAUGAGACUUCAUGAUUGCACUUAAGCUGGGUAUUCAUGUAUUGACAAAUGCUUGAUUUUCAAAAACCUCGCCUUGCUUGCUAAUGAUUUCAUAUUCACAUUAUCUAUCUUGCAAGUUUGACGGUCUUAUGAUGUAUAAUUAUCCCAUCUUAGUAUCACAUUAGUGUUAUCUUUACCAAUACAUUUUUGUUUCAGGUGAUACUCUAUUGGAUGAGUGAUUUUGGAUGCUUAGAAAGGUGUGUUUGAGGACAAAGAGAUGUAUCUUGUUUUCUUGGCAUCGCUUGAGCGAUGCUUCUUGUGCUCAAGCGGUAAAACUUUCCUCAUAGUAUUUUUUCAGGUGUUUCAAACUCCUGAGAGGCGCGUUUCUAUGCUCUCGAGCGAUGGCUUGCUUGUUAGUGGGUUCGCUCGAGCGGGCAUUAGGUCUCUCUCUGUUUGUCCUUCCUCCACUCGAUCUCUCUUGAUUUCUUAUUUCACCUAGUGAUUUUGAUCACUUAUUGGUAAGUUUUUCUUCUUUUCUUAUUUUUUUUUUGUUUUUCAUUUUUGGUUCAUUUAUUCUUCAAAAUGUAGUUCCUUGUGGUUUAUUUCUUGGUGGUUCUUAGUUUUUAUUUACAUAUCCCUUGCCCUCUUGCUUCAUUGUGUUAAUGUUUGAGGAUUUCUGAUAUUUUUAUUGUGUUUCUUUUAUUAUAUUUUUGAGGGUCUUAGAAUAAUUUAAUUCUGUGUGUUCUUUUCCUAUCUUUAAUGUAAUGUAUGCUUCAUUUUUAUUUAUUUAUUUUUGUUUUCCCUUGUUUAUAUCUGUUAAAAAAAAAAGGUGUACACUGUUAUUUGCUUUGGUAGUUUAUGCUUCAUCUUAUGUCUUCCACUCAGCCACUAUAUCAUGCUGAUAAUUGUUAUAUACACUUGACUUGUUAACCCUGUACACAGUAGAUUGCUUUGGUGGGUUGUUUAUUUAGGCUUUUGAGGGGUGUCCUUGGUGGGGGUUUCACUGUGCCUGUUUGUUUCUGUCUGGGGGGUUGGUCUAUGGGUUGUCUGUGUUCCAUGUCUUUUAGUUCUAGCUGUCAUGGCAAAAUCAUCUAAACAGUGCAGGUCUUCUGGGUCCCAUCUUGCCUAUAACACAAAUCUUUUUCCAUCAAAAGAAAAAGCCAUCUUUUAUCGAAAUUUCUACAAGUCGAUGACCGUUCAUCUAGAACGAAAUGUCCAACCCUCUACUUUUGAAUCUAUUUCCAUUUGGUCGCUUUUUGAUGCCUUGGGUGGUGAUCUUGUUCUUCACUUUUCCGGCCAACAAAAUGUUAGUUGGAUCCAGAAAUUUUAUUGCAACAUCCACUCCAUUGAUAAAGUCUCCACUUCUUUCAAGACUCGGGCCCGCUCCAAGGAAAUCUUUGUCAAUACAGAAUACAUUCAAUUCUUUCUCAACAUUCCUCAUGUGCAUAAUUGUCAUUUUCCUUUUCUUGCCACUCGCAAUGUUGAUUUUGACAUGGUGGCUUCUGAAAUUUGUGUCACACCUUAGCCUUGGAUUACCAGGGCUCUUAUUCGUCAAAAUGAACUUUUUCCACGUUUUCGUCUUUUGAACAUCAUUGUCUGUGACAACAUUUAUGUCACUACCUAUAGUUUCAACAUGUCUCAGGACCAAGGUUAUGUCCUCUAUUGUAUAGAUCGUCGUCUCCCUAUUGAUCUUCUCGAAAUGAUUGUCGAAAAAAUGACUUUUAUGUUUGAAGGAAAAAAAAUAUUUAGGCCUUCCUUAUGGUUGUCUCAUCAAUCGAAUACUUGAGUCUAUCCCAGUCCCCUCAUCUUCAAAUGAUGACUUUGCGUGUCCAAUCAAACCUAUCACCAAAAAGACGGUGUCUCAGAGUCAAGCCCAUGUUAAGGGGGCUUUGUCUGGGGUGGGUGGUUCGGGUGUAGGUGAGGACCAAAUAGAUGAAGAUGCUGAGUCGGAUACUGUAGCUACUGGUGAGGGAGAGCAGGCUCUCCCAGCUCAUUCUAUUCGGGACAAUUUCGCCAAAUAGAGCAAGCCAUGUUUGCGCUCUUUGAUAGCUUGAAUGCUUGAAUGGACGUCUAUGAUGUUUGGAUCACGGAUCUAGAGACAUCCACUGAUGGGUGCCUUACUACGUUGGAGGCCUAUACUGGGCGGAUUGAGCAUGCCGUGGAUCAGUCCUCUCUUAAGCUUGCCCAGAUUCUUUCUAUGCUCUAGAUGCAACAGUCUCCACCUCCACUACCAUUUAAGUGAUGUUGCUUUGAUCUCUUAUGGACACAUUUUCUUUAUUUUUGCUUUUAUUUUAUUAUUAUCUAUUGGACAUGUUUUAUUAUUAUCUCCUACUGUUGGGCCACAUUUUUGUAGUUAGCAUAUUAUGUGUUCUUAGUUACUCUUUGCUGGCCUUGUUCGUUGUUAUUUUGGGAUUGUUUAGUUUUCUUUCUUUAUUUUUAUCCCUUUGUCUCUCCCGAACAAAAAGGGGGAGUAUGAUAUGAUGAUGAUAGCAUGUUGUGUUUUGGUUUUGGCUUCAUAUAUUGCUGCUAAUCAUUUUUGGUUUUGGUUUUGGAUUUAUAUCUUGUUGCUAAUCAUUUUCCUAUCCUUUCUAGCACUUGUGCGUUAUUUGUUUUCUUUGCAGGAUAGUUCUCUUCGCACGAUGUUUAGAUUGGUUAGGUUGUUAUUUGGUUUGUGUCUCGAAGUGUGUGUUUGUUAGGGAAAAAUGUUAGGUGUGUUUUGUUCGAGAAUUGACAAAGGGGGAAAUUAUUAGGUCUCUUUUGUUGUCAAUUCUGUAGACAAUCACUUUUCAAAUGUAAACUUUGUCCUUUGUUUUCUCUUGGAUUGCUCGAGCAACCACUGCAUCGCUCAAGCGAAGAAUCCUUGCUCUUCGUACUUCAAGCCCUUUGCAAAACUUCUAAGAGCUUGCUUUCUUUGCUGGAGCUCACAUUCAGUGGCUUGAGCGAAGGCACUUAUGUGUAUGCGCGUUCUAGACUCACUGCUUGAGUGAACAUUCCUUCGCUCGAGCGGCUUGUGCGACCCUGACUGCUAUAAAAUGCAACUUAUCUGAGUUUGCAGUCUCAAGUACUCUUGAGCAAUUUGCUAAGGCACUUUUCAUUGUUUUCCUUGAUGUCAUUGUGAGAUUGCUAUCUCAUUUGAAUUGAUUUGUAUGCAUCAAGGAGCUUGUCUCCAUUCAACCAUCAAGAGUGUUCAUCAGUGGAUUCUGACAUGUUGAGCCUGGAUGAUUUGAAGGAGUUCAAAGCAACUCAUAGUUGUGGAUUCAACUUAGGUGUUGUGAAUUCAACACCGUGCUAUUCAAUCUCGAGACGAAGGCGUUGGUGGAAGCGGCACAAGGAGUGGAUGACAAUACUAGAUUGAGUUGGGUUAUUGUUUGUACUCUUGUGUAAUUUCAUUAUCUUCAUAGUGAAUCGUUUAGUAGCCUUUCGCUCGUGUUAUUUA
Molecule: non-coding RNA, 10330 nt
Organism: Camellia sinensis
Lineage: Eukaryota; Viridiplantae; Streptophyta; Magnoliopsida; Ericales; Theaceae
Source: RefSeq, a predicted model, not a curated record